Molecule: ribosomal RNA, 842 nt
Filed under: gut metagenome
Description: bacterial SSU rRNA
Rfam family: Bacterial small subunit ribosomal RNA
Source: RNAcentral
UCUGGUGGAUGGGCUUAUGGCGCAUUAGUUAGUUGGUGAGGUAACGGCCCACCAAGACGAUGAUGCGUAGCCGGACUGAGAGGUUGAACGGCCACAUUGGGACUGAGAGACGGCCCAGACUCCUACGGGAGGCAGCAGUAGGGAAUUUUCGGCAAUGGGCGGAAGCCUGACCGAGCAACGCCGCGUGAGUGAUGAAGUUUUUCGGAAUGUAAAGCUCUGUUGCGCGGGACGAAUGGAGAGGGAGGACCCUCUUGUGACGGUACCGCGCGAGGAAGCCACGGCUAACUACGUGCCAGCAGCCGCGGUAAUACGUAGGUGGCGAGCGUUAUCCGGAAUUAUUGGGCGUAAAGGGUGCGCAGGCGGCCUUUUAAGUUCAAGGUGAAAGCGUGGGGCUCAACCCCAUAAAGCCUUGGAUACUGGGAGGCUGGAGUACUGGAGAGGACAGCGGAAUUCCAUGUGUAGCGGUAAAAUGCGUAGAUAUAUGGAGGAACACCGGAGGCGAAGGCGGCUGUCUGGACAGUAACUGACGCUGAGGCACGAAAGCGUGGGGAGCAAAUAGGAUUAGAUACCCUAGUAGUCCACGCUGUAAACGAUGAAUACUAAGUGUUGGGGAGACCCAGUGCUGCAACAAACGCAAUAAGUAUUCCGCCUGUGGAGUAUGCACGCAAGUGUGAAACAUAAAGGAAUUGACGGGGGCCCGCACAAGCGGUGGAGUAUGUGGUUUAAUUCGACGCAACGCGAAGAACCUUACCAGGCCUUGACAUCCCCUGCGAAACUGUAGAGAUACAGCAGAGGUUAUCAGGGAGACAGGUGGUGCAUGGUUGUCGUCAGCUCGUGUCGUG